Molecule: ribosomal RNA, 547 nt
Filed under: uncultured bacterium
Lineage: Bacteria
Description: bacterial SSU rRNA
Rfam family: Bacterial small subunit ribosomal RNA
Source: RNAcentral
UGGGGAAUAUUGCGCAAUGGGGGGAACCCUGACGCAGCCAUGCCGCGUGAAUGAAGAAGGCCUUCGGGUUGUAAAGUUCUUUCGGUAUUGAGGAAGGUUGAUGUGUUAAUAGCACAUCAAAUUGACGUUAAAUACAGAAGGAGCACCGGCUAACUCCGUGCCAGCAGCCGCGGUAAUACGGAGGGUGCGAGCGUUAAUCGGAAUAACUGGGCGUAAAGGGCACGCAGGCGGUUAUUUAAGUGAGGUGUGAAAGCCCUGGGCUUAACCUAGGAAUUGCAUUUCAGACUGGGUAACUAGAGUACUUUAGGGAGGGGUAGAAUUCCACGUGUAGCGGUGAAAUGCGUAGAGAUGUGGAGGAAUACCGAAGGCGAAGGCAGCCCCUUGGGAAUGUACUGACGCUCAUGUGCGAAAGCGUGGGGAGCAAACAGGAUUAGAUACCCUGGUAGUCCACGCUGUAAACGCUGUCGAUUUGGGGGUUGGGGUUUAACUCUGGCGCCCGUAGCUAACGUGAUAAAUCGACCGCCUGGGGAGUACGGCCGCAAGGUUA